This is a small nucleolar RNA of Apodemus sylvaticus (European woodmouse), 127 nucleotides long. RefSeq annotates it as small nucleolar RNA SNORA17. NCBI's taxonomy places the organism in Eukaryota, Metazoa, Chordata, Mammalia, Rodentia, Muridae. The record is from RefSeq and is a predicted model, not a curated record. The transcript has a single exon.
CCUGCCCUUAGAAGUGCUGAUGUGGCUGCUGUGUCACAUGUGAGUCAGUAGGUGGCAGAGAAAAGAGAAAGGCUAUGUCUAACCUGAGUGUUCUAACUUAGGAACAUCUGGAUGAUAGCCUAACAUU